Molecule: ribosomal RNA, 460 nt
Filed under: uncultured bacterium
Lineage: Bacteria
Description: partial 16S ribosomal RNA
Rfam family: Bacterial small subunit ribosomal RNA
Source: RNAcentral
CCUACGGGAGGCAGCAGUGAGGAAUAUUGGUCAAUGGGCGGGAGCCUGAACCAGCCAAGUCGCGUGAGGGAAGACGGUCCUAUGGAUUGUAAACCUCUUUAGGCGGGGAGCAAUGCCGGGCACGCGUGCCCGGAGGGAGAGUACCCGCAGAAUAAGCAUCGGCUAACUCCGUGCCAGCAGCCGCGGUAAUACGGAGGAUGCGAGCGUUAUCCGGAUUUAUGGGGGUUAAAGGAUGCGUAGGCGGAUUUUUAAGUCAGCGGUAAAAUGUCCGGGCUCAACCCGGGCCGGCCGUUGAAACUGGGGAUCUUGAGUGGGCGAGAGGUAUGCGGAAUGCGUGGUGUAGCGGUGAAAUGCAUAGAUAUCACGCAGAACACCGAUUGCGAAGGCAGCAUACCGGCGCCCGACUGACGCUGAGGCACGAAAGCGUGGGGAUCGAACAGGAUUAGAUACCCGAGUAGUC